CACGUAGGGCGCAAGCGUUUGUCCGGAAUUAUUGGGCGUAGAGAGCUCGUAGGCGGUUUGUCGCGUCUGCUGUGAAAACUGGGGGCUCAACCCCCAGCCUGCAGUGGGUACGGGCAGACUAGAGUGCGGUAGGGGAGAUUGGAAUUCCUGGUGUAGCGGUGGAAUGCGCAGAUAUCAGGAGGAACACCGAUGGCGAAGGCAGAUCUCUGGGCCGUAACUGACGCUGAGGAGCGAAAGCAUGGGGGAGCGAACAGG
Molecule: ribosomal RNA, 255 nt
Filed under: uncultured bacterium
Lineage: Bacteria
Description: partial 16S ribosomal RNA
Rfam family: Bacterial small subunit ribosomal RNA
Source: RNAcentral